CAGCAGCCGCGGUAAUACGUAGGUGGCAAGCCUUUUCCGGAGUUAAUGGGCGUAGAGAGGUCGCAGAGCGGUUUCUUAAGUCUGAUGUGAAAGCCCCCGGCUCAACCCGGGGAGGGUCAUUGGAAACUGGGGAACUUGAGUGCAGAAGAGGAGAGUGGAAUUCCACCUGUAGCGGUGAAAUGCGUAGAGAUGUGGAGGGACACCAGUGGCGAAGGCGACUCUCUGGUCUGUAACUGACGCUGAGGAGCGAAAGCGUGGGGAGCGAACAGGAUUAGAUACCCUGGUAGUCCACGCCGUAAACGAGGAGUGCUAAGUGUUAGGGGGUUUCCGCCCCUUAGUGCUGCAGCUAACGCAUUAAGCACUCCGCCUGGGGAGUACGGCCGCAAGACUGAAACUCAAA
RNAcentral lists this ribosomal RNA (400 nucleotides) under Bacillus subtilis. Its description in RNAcentral is "bacterial SSU rRNA". It matches the Rfam family "Bacterial small subunit ribosomal RNA", at positions 509 to 905 of the family's 1533-position model. Lineage: Bacteria; Bacillati; Bacillota; Bacilli; Caryophanales; Bacillaceae. The record is from RNAcentral.